This 445-nucleotide ribosomal RNA is filed under the name uncultured bacterium. RNAcentral describes it as "bacterial SSU rRNA". It matches the Rfam family "Bacterial small subunit ribosomal RNA", at positions 354 to 796 of the family's 1533-position model. The record is from RNAcentral.
GUGAGGAAUAUUGCGCAAUGGAGGCAACUCUGACGCAGCCAUGCCGCGUGCAGGAAGAAGGCGCUACGCGUUGUAAACUGCUUUUAACCGGGAAGAAACCCCAGGACGUGUCCUGGGUUGACGGUACCGGAGGAAUAAGCACCGGCUAACUUCGUGCCAGCAGCCGCGGUAAUACGAAGGGUGCAAGCGUUAUCCGGAUUCAUUGGGUUUAAAGGGUGCGUAGGCGGAGCGUUAAGUCAGUGGUGAAAUCCUGCAGCUUAACUGUAGACUUGCCAUUGAUACUGGCGCGCUUGAGUGCGCUUGAAGUGGGCGGAAUGUGCCGUGUAGCGGUGAAAUGCUUAGAUAUGGCACAGAACACCAAUUGCGAAGGCAGCUCACUAAGGCGAUACUGACGCUGAGGCACGAAAGCGUGGGGAUCGAACAGGAUUAGAAACCCCGGUAGUCC